UAAUUCGGACAGCAGCAGUUUUCAGAUUCUGAAUUCUGCUGUGGAAAGUUUGGUGAACCUUAACACUUAGAGGAAGGAGAAGUCGUAACAAGGUUUCCGUAGGUGAACCUGCGGAAGGAUCAUUC
RNAcentral lists this ribosomal RNA (125 nucleotides) under Blastodinium sp. ex Corycaeus sp. RNAcentral describes it as "partial 18S ribosomal RNA". It matches the Rfam family "Eukaryotic small subunit ribosomal RNA", at positions 1706 to 1831 of the family's 1831-position model. The record is from RNAcentral. Lineage: Eukaryota; Dinophyceae; Blastodiniales.